UUUCCGUAGGUGAACCUGCGGAAGGAUCAUUACCGAGCUCCUGCCCUUCGGGGAAGAGACGCCACCCUUGCGCCCCCGUCAGUUGUUGCUUUGGCGGGCCCGCCCGCAAAAGACCCCAAACCCUGAGUGUUAGUGUCGUCGGUGUACUAUAAAAUAGUUAAAACUUUCAACAACGGAUCUCUUGGUUCUG
RNAcentral lists this unclassified non-coding RNA (190 nucleotides) under plant metagenome. RNAcentral describes it as "partial contains small subunit ribosomal RNA, internal transcribed spacer 1, and 5.8S ribosomal RNA". The record is from RNAcentral.